RNAcentral lists this transfer RNA (72 nucleotides) under Armillaria ostoyae. The record is from RNAcentral. Lineage: Eukaryota; Fungi; Basidiomycota; Agaricomycetes; Agaricales; Physalacriaceae.
GCAUUAGUGGUGCAAUGGUUAACAUGUGCUCUUACUAUGACCGCGUUCGGGGUUCAACUCCCCGGUAAUGCA